Molecule: ribosomal RNA, 468 nt
Filed under: uncultured bacterium
Lineage: Bacteria
Description: partial 16S ribosomal RNA
Rfam family: Bacterial small subunit ribosomal RNA
Source: RNAcentral
GACGAACGCUGGCGGCGUGCUUAACACAUGCAAGUCGAACGGAAAGGCCCUGCUUUUGUGGGGUGCUCGAGUGGCGAACGGGUGAGUAACACGUGAGUAACCUGCCCUUGACUUUGGGAUAACUUCAGGAAACUGGGGCUACUACCGUAUAGGAGCUCCUGCUCCAUGGUGGGGGUUGGAAAGUUUCGGCGGUUGGGGAUGGACUGGCGGCUUAUCGGCUUGUUGGUGGGGUAGUGGCUUACCAAGGCUUUGACGGGUAGCCGGCCUGAGAGGGUGACCGGCCACAAUGGGACUGCGAUACGGACCAGACUCCAACGGGAGGCAGCAGUGGGGAAUAUUGCACAAUGGGCGGAAGCCUGAGGCAGCAACGCCGCGUGCGGGAUGACGGCUUUCGGGGUGUAAACCGCUGUCGCCUGUGACGAAGCGUGAGUGACGGUAAUGAGUAAAGAAGCACCGGCUAACUACGUG